This 3165-nucleotide ribosomal RNA is filed under the name Sulfurimonas sp. RNAcentral describes it as "23S ribosomal RNA". It matches the Rfam family "Bacterial large subunit ribosomal RNA". Lineage: Bacteria; Pseudomonadati; Campylobacterota; Epsilonproteobacteria; Campylobacterales; Sulfurimonadaceae. The record is from RNAcentral.
UAAAAAGAUAUUAAGGGCCAUAGGUGGAUGCCUUGGCUGGUAGAGGCGAUGAAAGGCGUAAUAGGCUGCGAAAAGCCUCGGGGAGCUGCCAAUAAGCUUUGAUCCGGGGAUUUCUGAAUGGGGCGACCCAGCAUGGAGCGAUUCAUGUUACCUACUUCGGUAGGGGCGAACUCAGGGAAGUGAAACAUCUCAGUACCUGAAGGAAGAGAAAUCAAACGAGAUUCCCAUAGUAGCGGCGAGCGAAAAGGGAAUAGGGCGGAUAGUGAUAGCAUAGAUAUUAGCAGAACACUUUGGAAAGAGUGAGCAUAGAGGGUGAUACUCCCGUAAGCGAAAAUAUUUAUGUGGUACUAGAUUAUCGAACGAGUAGGUCGGGACACGUGUUAUCUUGACUGAAUAUGGGGGGACCACCCUCCAACCCUAAAUACUACUACCAGACCGAUAGCGAACUAGUACCGUGAGGGAAAGGUGAAAAGGACCGCGGUGAGCGGAGUGAAAUAGAACCUGAAACCUAUGGCUUACAAUCAUUCGGAGCACUAUUGUCGUAAGACAAGUGUGACGGACUGCCUUUUGCAUAAUGAGCCUGCGAGUUGUGGUAUCUGGCAAGGUUAAUCUAACGAGAAGCCGUAGCGAAAGCGAGUCUUAAUAGGGCGUCGCCACCUCACUGAAGCCAUUUAGAAGUUUUAGCAAGUAUAUCUCAAAGAUAUUCAAGGCAGUUUUAAAGUAGCGAUACUAGUAUCGUGAGUUUGAAACUAACGAAGAAGAUCAAAGAGAGAUACUUGUUACAAGUAAUGAUUUUAUUAAGAGUCAUUAAGCACAGAAUUUUCCAUCAGCAUAGUAAACUAUGCUUCAAGAAAAGUUCUGCACUUACUAACUAUUACUAAAACCACUAAAAAUUCUAAAUGGCUUCAGUGAGGUGGCACAAGUCAGAUGCUGCAGACCCGAAACUAAGUGAUCUAUCCAUGUGCAGGUUGAAGCUGGUGUAAGAGCCAGUGGAGGACCGAACCCGUAUAGGUUGAAAACUGUUGGGAUGACAUGUGGAUAGGGGUGAAAGGCCAAUCAAACUUAGUGAUAGCUGGUUCUCUCCGAAAUAUAUUUAGGUAUAGCCUCGAGCAUUAGCAUGAAGGGGUAGAGCACUGACAGGGCUAGGGCUGCUUACCGCGGUACCAAACCCUAUCAAACUCCGAAUACUUCAUGUGUAACCUCGGGAGUCAGGCGUAGGGUGAUAAAAUCCUAUGUCGAGAGGGAACAACCCAGACUAACAGCUAAGGUCCCAAAGUCUUGUCUAAGUGGAAAAGGAUGUGGAGUUGCUGUGACAACCAGGAGGUUGGCUUAGAAGCAGCCAUCCUUUAAAGAAAGCGUAACAGCUCACUGGUCUAGCGAUUCUGCGCCGAAAAUAUAACGGGGCUAAGACAAGCACCGAAGCUUUAGAUUUGGUAUUACUACCAAGUGGUAGGAGAGCGUUCCAUUCAGCGUUGAAGGUACACCGGUAAGGAGUGCUGGAGCGGAUGGAAGUGAGCAUGCAGGCAUGAGUAGCGAGAAAAGGGAUGAGAAUUCCCUUCGCCGUAAACCCAAGGUUUCCUACGCGAUGCUCGUCAUCGUAGGGUUAGUCGGGACCUAAGACGAGUCCGAAAGGGGUAGUCGAUGGCAAAUAGGUUAAUAUUCCUAUACCGACAUUACAUCAUUUGAGUGAUGGGGGGACGCAUAGAGUUAGACGAGGUCACUGAUGGAAUAGUGGCUCGAAGGAAGUAGGUUGAAGAGUAGGCAAAUCCGCUCUUCAUGCAACCGAGAUCUUACAGGCAGACCAAUCACUUCGGUGAGCGGUUUGAAUCGUCGAUACUGUCGUGCCGAGAAAAGCCUCUAAACGAGAUGUAAUGUUGCCCGUACCGUAAACCAACACAGGUGGGUGAGAUGAGUAUUCUAAGGCGCGUGGAUGAACCAUUGUUAAGGAACUCUGCAAAAUAGCACCGUAUCUUCGGUAUAAGGUGUGCCCUACAUGUUAGGAGAUUUACUCUCCAAAGCAUUAAAGGGUCGCAGCAAAGUGUCCCUCCCGACUGUUUACCAAAAACACAGCACUCUGCUAACUCGUAAGAGGAUGUAUAGGGUGUGACGCCUGCCCGGUGCUCGAAGGUUAAAAGGAUUGCUUAGCUCCGGCGAAGGCAUGAAUUGAAGCCCGAGUAAACGGCGGCCGUAACUAUAACGGUCCUAAGGUAGCGAAAUUCCUUGUCGGUUAAAUACCGACCUGCAUGAAUGGCGUAACGAGAUGGGAGCUGUCUCAACAAUGGAUCCAGUGAAAUUGUAGUGGAGGUGAAAAUUCCUCCUACCCGCGGAAAGACGGAAAGACCCCGUGCACCUUUACUAUAGCUUGACACUGCUGUCGGGAUAUUCAUGUGCAGGAUAGGUGGGAGCCAUUGAUUCAUAGUCGCCAGAUUAUGAUGAGGCAUCCUUGAGAUACCACCCUUGAAUAUUCUGAUAGCUAACUCCGUACAAUUAUCUUGUGCGAGGACAAUGUCUGGUGGGUAGUUUGACUGGGGCGGUCGCCUCCUAAAAAGUAACGGAGGCUUACAAAGUUCGGCUCAGGUGGGUUGGAAAUCCACCGUAGAGUAUAAUGGCAUAAGCCGGACUGACUGUGAGACAUACAAGUCAAGCAGAGUCGAAAGACGGUCAUAGUGAUCCGGUGGUUCUGUGUGGAAGGGCCAUCGCUCAAAGGAUAAAAGGUACGCCGGGGAUAACAGGCUGAUCUCCCCCAAGAGCUCACAUCGACGGGGAGGUUUGGCACCUCGAUGUCGGCUCAUCGCAUCCUGGGGCUGGAGCAGGUCCCAAGGGUAUGGCUGUUCGCCAUUUAAAGCGGUACGCGAGCUGGGUUCAGAACGUCGUGAGACAGUUCGGUCCCUAUCUUCCGUGGGCGUAGGAUUGUUGAGGAGAGUUGACCCUAGUACGAGAGGACCGGGUUGAACGUGCCACUGGUGCACCAGUUGUUCUGCCAAGAGCAUCGCUGGGUAGCUACGCACGGAUGAGAUAACCGCUGAAAGCAUCUAAGCGGGAAGCCAACUCCAAGAUGAACAAUCCCUGAAGUACGCUUGAAGACUACAAGCUUGAUAGGCUGGAUGUGUACGCAGAGUAAUCUGUUUAGCUGACCAGUACUAAUAGUACGUUCGUCUUUUUUAA